RNAcentral lists this long non-coding RNA (237 nucleotides) under Mytilus galloprovincialis (Mediterranean mussel). Lineage: Eukaryota; Metazoa; Mollusca; Bivalvia; Mytilida; Mytilidae. The record is from RNAcentral.
CUUGCGGUUAUUUUCUGUUACGUUCAACGGCAACAUUAGAAUGAUCUAGAAUAGAACCAAGAUGGAACCAAGAGCGGAUCCAGGGGGGGGGGGUCCUUCGUGGGAAAAAUUUGGUUGAUUAUAUAGGGAAUCAUUGAAGCAUGACUGAAGCGGGCCCCCCUUAGGAAAAGUUCUGGAUCCACCACUGUCUAGACAUAUUUACGUAAAUAAGGGAUGAGUAAAGGGAAAAAAAAAGAA